GAAAGCGUCAGACUGGAACGCGCCUGACGGUGAGGGACGAAAGCCAGGGGAGCGAACCGGAUUAGAUACCCGGGUAGUCCUGGCCGUAAACGAUGCAUACUAGGCAAUGGUGCGGCCAUGAGCCGCAUCAGUACCGUAGGGAAACCGUUAAGUGUGCCGCCUGGGGAGUACGGUCGCAAGGCUAAAACUUAAAGGAAUUGGCGGGGGAGCACCACAAGGGGUGAAGCCUGCGGUUCAAUUGGACUCAACGCCGGGAAACUUACCAGGGGAGACAGCAGAAUGACAGUCAGGUUGACGACCUUACUCGACGAGCUGAGAGGAGGUGCAUGGCCGUCGCCAGUUCGUGCUGUGAGGUAUCCUGUUAAGUCAGGCAACGAACGAGAUCCGCGCCUUUAUUUGCCAUCAAGAAGUCACGACUUUGUUGGGAACACUAAAGGGACCGCCGUCGAUAAGACGGAGGAAGGAGCGGGCAAAGGCAGGUCAGUAUGCCCCGAAACCCCUGGGUUACACGCGGGCUGCAAUGGUGCGAACAAUGGGCUGUAACUCCGAAAGGAGAAACCAAUCCCGAAACUCAGCAUCUCAGUGGGGAUUGUCGACU
This 598-nucleotide ribosomal RNA is filed under the name uncultured crenarchaeote. RNAcentral's name for it is "bacterial SSU rRNA". It matches the Rfam family "Archaeal small subunit ribosomal RNA", at positions 668 to 1262 of the family's 1478-position model. Lineage: Archaea; Thermoproteati; Thermoproteota. The record is from RNAcentral.